GGCUGGAGAAGGUCCCAAGGGUUGGGCUGUUCGCCCAUUAAAGAGGCACGCGAGCUGGGUUCAGAACGUCGUGAGACAGUUCGGUCCCUAUCCACUGCAGGCGCUAGAAUAUUGAAAAGAUCUGUCCUUAGUACGAGAGGACCGGGAUGGACAAACCUCUGAUGUAUCAGUUGUCACGCCAGUGGCAUGGCUGAGUAGUCACGUCUGGAACGGAUAAUCGCUGAAAGCAUCUAAGCGAGAAGCCGACUUUGAGAUGAAUAUUCGUAGUAUCCAUAGAGAACAUAUGGUCGAUAGGCUAGGGGUGCAAGUGCAGCAAUGCAUUCAGCUGACUAGUACUAAUAUUACGUCUGCUUUUAAG
RNAcentral lists this ribosomal RNA (358 nucleotides) under Atopobium sp. RNAcentral describes it as "partial 23S ribosomal RNA". It matches the Rfam family "Bacterial large subunit ribosomal RNA", at positions 2551 to 2925 of the family's 2925-position model. Lineage: Bacteria; Bacillati; Actinomycetota; Coriobacteriia; Coriobacteriales; Atopobiaceae. The record is from RNAcentral.